Podarcis muralis (Common wall lizard) is the source of this 361-nucleotide non-coding RNA. NCBI's taxonomy places the organism in Eukaryota, Metazoa, Chordata, Lepidosauria, Squamata, Lacertidae. The record is from RefSeq and is a predicted model, not a curated record.
ACAGAUGCAAACUUCCUGGCAUUUUAGAAAUCUCUGUACUGCACUGAUAGCAAAAUCAAUUGUCCCUUGUUAGCAGAGGGCCUAAGCAAAUAAGAUAACACCAUCUAAUUACCGGUCUGCACCAUCUGUAACAACACCGAAACCUUUUUCUUCUGGAGGAGGAAUCUACUCAAGAGCAGUUAUUAAGUUUGGGAAAGCAGCAAUUGUACAUACAAGGAGUGGAAUGUAAUUUCACCGCCAGGAGAAUUUAUAUGUAAGAAGACGACAAAUCUCCCUACAUUCCCUGUCGAAGCAGCUCUGAUAGCUUUGGACCUUUAGCCAGUUUCUGAGCCCUCCACCUGACGGACAGUAGCACCGGCAA